This 850-nucleotide long non-coding RNA is filed under the name Cucumis sativus (cucumber). RNAcentral's name for it is "long non-coding RNA (CSAT_LNC000260)". Lineage: Eukaryota; Viridiplantae; Streptophyta; Magnoliopsida; Cucurbitales; Cucurbitaceae. The record is from RNAcentral.
AUUGAUUGUCACUCAGCAAGUAUUGUGCAAUGUCAUCCAACAUAGCUUGGUAUUCCUCUGAACCAUCGUCCACAAAAGGUGUUUUUGUAGAAGCCAUUUGUUCUGUAAUAUGAUGUCCUAUGUGAUUUACAAGGUCACUCAUUGACAUGGAUGGAUGAAGCCCCGGAACUUUUAUCUGCUCCCAGUUUAUUGGCUUGCCGGUAACUUUAGUACUUCUAUUCUCUUCAAUCUCACGAGCAUCCAUCACUGAUGUACAAAAACGUAGUGGGUGACACUGAUUAGAAGAUAACGUUGGAAAUUGAGCUAUAUAGAGAAUAUAUAUAUAAAUUAUUUAAUCUUCCAAACACGUCCUCAGAAUAGAUAUCUGUCCAUUUUCAAAAAUAGGGAAAAAGUGAAUGAAAUGCAAGAGAUUUUGGGAGAAAAAGCUGGAGGGUACUACCAAAAAAAAUUGGAAACCAGGACAGUGACGUUUAUGAAUGCUGGAUGAUAAGCAGAUCAGGUGUAGGAUGCUAUUGUCAUGCACAAGUUCUUUAAUAAUCAAGUCUAGUUUAAUUGACUAGUAGUUUGAUUACCUUAAGACACAGAGAGGAAAAGGGGCAGAGAAGUAUGUAUUGGCUAUGUUCCAUCAUAUUCUUUCUGCCCCUUCUCUAGAUUAAAGGUAAGGUGCUUAGCUAAUGGAGAUUACCAUUUUUCAUGCGUAGACCAACUUGCAAGUUCAAUGUACCUGAGCUGGGGGAAGGUGCCUUCACAGUGAAAGGCUCGAACACCAUUUGAGGGGAAGCCUGUUCUAUCGUCAAUGAAGUCGCAGCAGUUGAUGAAACUACAUCCUGGAAAGCAGAAAGUAGAGAUU